Dendroctonus ponderosae (mountain pine beetle) is the source of this 884-nucleotide long non-coding RNA. RefSeq lists it as uncharacterized. The transcript has 2 exons. The record is from RefSeq and is a predicted model, not a curated record. Lineage: Eukaryota; Metazoa; Arthropoda; Insecta; Coleoptera; Curculionidae.
UCGUGAUGCAGUUUUCAGGUUUUAUGACAACAAUUCUCCACAUUUUAUUUUACGUCCUCUGCAGGUCUGAUUAUUCUAGGGCAAAAUACAUUGCUCUUUCCAGACCUUUUCAGAUAUUUUUUCAACCGUUUUUGUCUAUGGAAUGAAGCAGCUGUUCCCCAACAACCCAGAGCUGAACAUUUGAUGCCUUUUUAAAAAUCCGCCCUUUUUUCAAACUAAAAUAAUCUGGACUAAUGUAAUCAUCAUAUUGUCAAAGCCCUUUUAUUUGUCACAAGUCACAGCCUAAACUUCAUGUGGGCGGACCCUCGAAUUGAAUCGGAACGUCCGAAGGGAGCCGAAUAUUUCCGAUGUCUGACAAUACAAAGCUGGAAACAGCAGAGAUUUUUCUGAAAGAAACUGGAAAAGGUAAUUCAUCUUUGAAGCAUGAGUCAUCAAUCAGCUGUUCCUGUGCAUAAUCUCCUGAAAAUACACUGGGAAAUCCGGCAACGUCGCGUCAAAUAGUGUAUCGAGCAAAGCCGGAGCCUUAGUGCAGAUGUACUGAAAAGUUCGCGAGUUCAUCGCCUACUAUGUGAACGUCAGGCCGUAGACUGUAAACUAAGCCCGCCACGACAUUCCCAGCCUUUGUUCCAUGAUGAUUCAUUCAUCUGCGAAUAAAGAAUCGCCUCAAUUAUGGUUCAGGAUUAAAGAUUGAAUAUCAGCUCUAUUAUUAUGGCUGUUGGAUUUAUCGUAAUGCGUAAAAUUCAAUUUUAGCAUAAUGUCAGUUUACCUACCUGUUUUGCUUCUUAAAAUCUCGAUAACCUUUCGAUUUCUUCGUAGAUGUUUUUCAAGAGUUGCACAAUUUUCAGACGUAAUUGUAUUGGAAAUAAUAAACAUUAGAAAAAUAG